UGUAUACUAUAGUGAUUGUUUUGAUGUGGUGCUCGAUCAUGCUAUAUAUGUGCAUAUGUCAGUGGAAACUUGACAUUUUAAGCUCAAUUAAAUGUCUUUGCUCAUAAAAUAUGCAAAUUAUAGAUGACUUUUCUUCCCUAUUUUUUAACAUUUGUACUUUACAAUCUAACAUUUGAAAGGAAUCUUUCAAUCAACUUUUCAAUCAAAAAUCUAGUCCCUCUAAAAAUUUGUAAAGACUAGCCAUGUCUCAACAACAUUGACUAUUAAUUGUCACCAAUCAGCCAAUUAUACUGGCUCCUUAUUGUUAUACCACAUUGUAUACAUGCUAAUCAUCUACAGAUUCACAGCAUUGAGUAGUAUUUAGUCUGUGUUUCUCCUAGGAAAGUCUUAGCAUAUGAACCGUAUUGAGUUUAAAAGGGUGGUUAGUGGGUGAAUGCACAAAAGCUCCAAUGCUUUAUCCACAUGCAUUUUUUCUUUCUUAUGCAUCAGACGAUAAAAACUCUAGAUCUAUGAAUCAAUUAUAAAGAUCUUACAUUUUUAUAGCCUAGAUAUUGUUUUCGCACAAACACAUUAGCAGAGUGUUUUGCCAUUCAAUUCGAAUAAGUAGAUACUGCCGUGAUGUAGAAGAGCAAUGCACUAGGGCCAGUUAAGUUAUUAAUUGACAUACAGAAAAUCUUAGAGGAAAUAAAUUUUAUUUGGCUAAUCAUCUUAUUAAAUGAGAUUCCGGAAUAGAAACAACAAAAAAUAACCAAAAGAGGAGACUUGUGAUACCUGUACGAGGGAUCUAAAUCAUUGCAUUAACUAUCAUAAAAGUGAAAACAUGAACCAUACAUUGAAGCUGUGGUAAAGGUUAUAGAUCAAAAGUUAUGGAAAACAGCAGCAACCUUAGAGGACAAUUAUACCUUUCUCGGUCUUUUGGCUAAGAUCAAGUGAAUCUUGGAGGCCAAUUUGGUUUUAGGCCAGGAUAGUCAACAAU
Molecule: long non-coding RNA, 976 nt
Filed under: Phoenix dactylifera (date palm)
Lineage: Eukaryota; Viridiplantae; Streptophyta; Magnoliopsida; Arecales; Arecaceae
Description: long non-coding RNA (PDAC_LNC016510)
Source: RNAcentral